Molecule: long non-coding RNA, 2148 nt
Organism: Tachysurus fulvidraco (yellow catfish)
Lineage: Eukaryota; Metazoa; Chordata; Actinopteri; Siluriformes; Bagridae
Exons: 3
Source: RefSeq, a predicted model, not a curated record
GUUACAAAAGUCAAAGGGGGGGGGGGGGGUAAUCCAGCACAAGCAAGCAGCCAUCAGGUCCUGCAGCCUUUCAGCGCUGGUCACAGACCCGCUUGUCAGACUGGCGGUUCAAAGCGGCGAAGCUGUGGGAUGGGGGUGGGGCGGUUGAGUGCAUAUAUUUAUAUACGUGUGUGUAUGUAAAAGUGUAGGCCUGGAGAGUCGUUGCUCCCGGUAUUCAAAUCUUGGUGCCUCAGUCCGCAAGAUUGCAUUAGCGAUACAUAGCAAAUUGCCAUGGAGACAACCUUGAUUAGGUCCCAGAAAGAGUCAACAAUCAGCACGUGUUUGUGGAAGUGGGGGAAGGAAUGCAAGAGAGUCUCGCUGCAGUGCUCUGCCGGGGGAGUUGUUCCAACAGUGGCCUUGACCGAGGCCAGUGCUGGUUGAGGGGAGCCGAAAGCAGAUAAGAUUGGGAUUGUUUGGUCCUGGAGUGAGUAGACGCAUUCCAAUUUACACAACUACUCUCUUAGUCCAUUCUGGUCUCUCUUUUUUCUUUCCAAAGCCGUGAGCUGCUCCGUGAUGUUAACCAAAGCAGUAUCCAAAGCAGUGAGCUUCGUGAUGUUAUCCAUAUUGCGGUUAUUAGUCCCAGCCUCAGUGCUGACAGCUCUGCCCACUGCAUCAAUCAUGACGGGCAGCCUUGGGAGAUUUUGCACAGCUGUUAGUUUUCUGAUUCUCUAGAUAACCCAGGGCAAUGCCUAAUCCAAUCAGCAGAACUCCUAUUAUCAUGGUUCCGAAUAGGUAGAUAUCUUCAAUGUCCUCCACGGAAAGAGGAGCCAGACACACGACCCGCCACCUCUCCCACACGUCCAUCGUAUAGCCAGCUGCGAACGUUCCGGCAGGUUAGUCAGGUUCCCCCGAACCCAAGCUUGUCGUCAAUAAGAUGGUGUCAAUUGCUUUGAGAGACCAGUUUAUCAAAUCCAUGAUAUUUUGGUUUGGAGAGCAGUGCGGAGAGAGUCUCUCAAAGUAUAAGACAGGAGACGAGACGAAAGAAGCAAAGCAGGGAAAAGAAAAGGGGAGAAGAGGGAGAGAAAAUGCAACCGCCUUUGCAAGAGCCAAGAGAGGAUUUAAGGAUUAAUAGGAAACAUUACAGGCUUUUUUUAAAAUUAUAGUUUAUUAUAAUUGUUCUCUCUCUCUCUCUCCAAAAUAAAAUGCAUUUUAAAUUAAACUGUUAUGUUUUUCUGUCUACAGGCUCCUUCAUCUCCCAGUCUGAGGUACUGAAUAGUGCUGCAGCUAAAGAGAUUCAUUUACAUUUACAUUUACGGCAUUUAGCAGACACCCUUAUCCAGAGUGACUUACAAUGAGCAACUGAGGGUUAAGGGCCUUGCUCAGGGGCCCAGCAGUGGCAGCUUGGUGGACCUGGGGUUUCAAACACACACACACCAAUAACACAUUUUUGCUUAAUAUCACAAUAUAUUACCUAAAUCUAUGAUGUUUAAUUCUAUUUUUUUCUACUACUAAUUCUACUUCUAAUUACAUCAAUAAUAAUAAUCUUUUACUUUCCCAGUAUGCUGUUCCUGCACCAGCUCAGAAGCCGCUGACAAUCUACAUGUUGGAGUCAGCUGAUCUGGACGAACAAUGUCAAGCAGAUUGCUGCUGUGCUUCGGGCGAGGGAAGCUGACCAGGACAUGCAUUUUCCUUCACUCAAGAAGAGGAAGAGAAAACAUCCAAUAUUUUCUAUAAACUGUUUAUAUUGUGUAUAUAUUGUAUUUGUUAAUUUGUAUGUAAUGUUUUACCAUUAAAAACUCUGAAUUAAAAUGACUGUUUAUUUAAUAGUAAUAAUUGUAUAAGGGAUAAUUUUUUAUUUUUGUAAUGGGAAGUGUUGAGAAGGAGUGUGAGUGUAAAAAUAUAUAACUCGAUCUAACUACCUGCAUCUAAUUGUAUUAAAAUCAGACUUUAUAGCACAUAAUCAAUUAAGCCUAAGUGCCUUAGCUGUAGUAGAUAAGCUAAUCAAAAUGAAAUAAUCACUCUGAGAAAAGGAGAGUAGGUGGGAGACGAGGAGGCAUAAGGGGAAGUUGCCUAAAAUGGUGAAGAUGCCAGGAAUGCUUGGAAGCCUGGGAUGACAUAGAACUACUUUAUAUAGAAGCAAUAAGAUGAUAAGGCGUAGGACAAAUAAUC